Paramuricea clavata is the source of this 65-nucleotide non-coding RNA. NCBI's taxonomy places the organism in Eukaryota, Metazoa, Cnidaria, Anthozoa, Malacalcyonacea, Plexauridae. The record is from the annotation of a GenBank genome assembly.
UCACAAAACAGAAUUAGUGCUUUUAGUACAGAUUCUGUACUAAAAGCACUAAUUCUGUUUUGUGA